AAUUGGAACAAUACAAAGAAGAUUAGCACGGUCCCUGCGCAAGAAUGACACACAAAUUCAUGAAGCAUUCCAUAUAUAA
This 79-nucleotide small nuclear RNA is filed under the name Nannospalax galili (Upper Galilee mountains blind mole rat). Lineage: Eukaryota; Metazoa; Chordata; Mammalia; Rodentia; Spalacidae. The record is from RNAcentral.